GAUCGAAAGUGAAAAACCCGAGGUAAGAAGGAAGACGAGAAAAAAAGAGGCUGGGAACAGACAGAGCAUGGAUAGAGCUUACUUACAGAAACCCUUUUGUUUUGACCCUUCCCAUGCACUGCCUCUUCCCUGGCCUUUUUCCCUCUUCUCUUCCACCCUCUUUUUCUUUUUUGGUC
RNAcentral lists this microRNA precursor (176 nucleotides) under Linum usitatissimum (flax). RNAcentral's name for it is "miR408a stem-loop (lus-MIR408a)". Its record names the gene lus-MIR408a. The stretch from base 32 to 153 matches the Rfam family "MIR408 microRNA precursor family". Lineage: Eukaryota; Viridiplantae; Streptophyta; Magnoliopsida; Malpighiales; Linaceae. The record is from miRBase by way of RNAcentral.